This 492-nucleotide ribosomal RNA is filed under the name uncultured bacterium. RNAcentral's name for it is "partial 16S ribosomal RNA". It matches the Rfam family "Bacterial small subunit ribosomal RNA", at positions 28 to 507 of the family's 1533-position model. The record is from RNAcentral.
GGUGAACGCUGGCGGUAGGCCUAACACAUGCCAGUCGAACGGCAGCACAGUAAGAGCUUGCUCUUACGGGUGGCGAGUGGCGGACGGGUGAGGAAUACAUCGGAAUCUACUUUUUCGUGGGGGAUAACGUAGGGAAACUUACGCUAAUACCGCAUACGACCUACGGGUGAAAGCAGGGGAUCUUCGGACCUUGCGCGAUUGAAUGAGCCGAUGUCGGAUUAGCUAGUUGGCGGGGUAAAGGCCCACCAAGGCGACGAUCCGUAGCUGGUCUGAGAGGAUGAUCAGCCACACUGGAACUGAGACACGGUCCAGACUCCUACGGGAGGCAGCAGUGGGGAAUAUUGGACAAUGGGCGCAAGCCUGAACCAGCCAUACCGCGUGGGUGAAGAAGGCCUUCGGGUUGUAAAGCCCUUUUGUUGGGAAAGAAAAGCAGCAGGUUAAUACCCCGCUGUUCUGACGGUACCCAAAGAAUAAGCACCGGCUAACUUCGUG